This 486-nucleotide ribosomal RNA is filed under the name Triticum aestivum (bread wheat). RNAcentral describes it as "partial small subunit ribosomal RNA". Lineage: Eukaryota; Viridiplantae; Streptophyta; Magnoliopsida; Poales; Poaceae. The record is from RNAcentral.
AUGAAUUGCUUAAGCUGGAACUGUCGGGGUGCAGCCAACAAACCGACAGUUCACGAGUUGGUGGGUCUUGCAAGGACCACCAAAGCAAACUUGGUCUUUUUGUGUGAAACUAGAAUAAAAGCUGAAAAAGUUCGUCGCUUAAGAGGUAGAUUGGGCCUGAGAGGUUUUGCAGGUUGUGAUAGUAAGGGUCUUAGUGGGGGUUUAGCCCUUUUUUGGAGUGAUCAGAUUUUUGUUGAUGUUCAAGAAGUAAAUGAAAGAUACAUUGAUGCGUACGUCCGUGUGUCUGAUAGUGAUCCACUUUGGCAUUUGACAUGUGUCUAUGGUGAGCCACGAGUGGAAAACCGUCAUUUGAUGUGGGAAAGUUUGCAAAGGCUAAAGGCAGGGUCCCAAUUACCGUGGUGUGUGAUUGGUGACUUUAACGAAGCCAUGUGGUCGUUUGAGCAUUUCUCUGCAACUCCACGUGGAGAAGACAGAUGUUGGCCUUGA